RNAcentral lists this long non-coding RNA (1469 nucleotides) under Sorghum bicolor (sorghum). RNAcentral's name for it is "long non-coding RNA (SBIC_LNC011108)". The record is from RNAcentral. Lineage: Eukaryota; Viridiplantae; Streptophyta; Magnoliopsida; Poales; Poaceae.
UAUGAUAAGCGACUUAUAUAUAUAUUUUAGCUUCUCUUAUUAGAAAAAACAUUGAGCAAAACCUCUCGUUGUUGAAAAGAUUGAAAUGUCCAUUACCCUCUCUUUUUUUUUUCUCCUUUUGCUUUUCUUCGUUCAUUUAUCUUGCUCUCCUACUUCUCUUUCCUCCCUCUUGUCUCCACUUUACCCCCAUCUUUAGCGCACGUUCAUACUCCCCUGCAAUGGCUUAACUUAGAGCAACCUCAGCAGCAGCCUCAGAAAUAGGGCCCCAACUUUUUAUUUGGAUGCUCUUUCUAUUUUUGGUACUUAAAAUUUUUGCUUCCACUCCAACAGCUAGCACCCCAAAAUAAAGGUUCUCAAAUCCAAAUUGGUUGACAAUAACAUAUGGCUCAUUGAGUCAAACCUUUCUUUCUCACAUCCUCCAAACAGAGGCCAGGACACAAAAGAGACGAGAGCUUUCGGCGUAUCAGGGCAGCGCCCGCAUGGCGGGAAAGGGGCCGCGCCAGAGUUGCGCACCGGUAAAUCUGCCCAGCGGUGGAGGUCGGGGGUGAAGGGAGGGAGCGAGGUAGUGGAGAUUGGCGCUGGAGAGAGGUGGAUGAGGCUGCGUCUCUAUGGUGUGGGGAGAUAAUGGUCACACCACACAGGAUGAGGACUGAGUUGUUGGGUCAACAGAAAUGGAGUCUGCUGAGGAGAUUUGGGUGGCCACCUCAAAUUAGGAGCUCUAAUGAAGACCCUGCUGGAGUGUUAUUUUUAAACCGAGUAUGGAUAUUUAGCUAUAAAGGCUCAAAAUCUGCACGAGCUCGCUAGGAUGGAGGUGUCGGUGAGGGGCAUCCCCGUCCAAACACCCGAAGCUGCUCUUUUUUCUGGGCUCCACCGUCCGGACACCGUAGGCAGCCAUGAACUUCAACAUUUUUUUAUAAUUGAAUAACAUUAUAUUUUGCUAGGUAAAUAUUUUUACAUAAAAAGGAUUGAUCAGGCUCUGAAAAGCUUGUCUCCGACAGUGACACUGCCGUCCACUCACCCCCUGUGAGGCUGUGAGAGCGCAUUUCGCAGGGCUUGUUUAGGCCUUGUUUAGUUCCCAGAAAAUUUUGCAAAAUUUUUCACAUUCCCCGUCACAUCGAAUCUUUAGACGCAUGUAUGAAGUAUUAAAUAUAGACAAAAAUAAAAACUAAUUGCACAGUUUGGUCGAAAUUGAUGAGACGAAUCUUUUGAGCCUAGUUAGACCAUAAUUGGAUAAUAUUUGUCAAAUACAAACGAAAGUGCUACAGUGUCGAUUUCCCAAAAUUUUUCGAAACUAAACAAGGCCAAUUAGUGCACCCUGAAAAUCAAAACAUUUUAAAAAUUUUCUAUCACAUUAAAUCUCACACCACAUGCAUUAAGCAUUAAAUAUAAAUAAAAAUAAAAAUCAACUAUACAAUUUACUUAUAAAUCAUGAGAUAAAUCUUUUAAAUCUAAUUAAUUUAUGAUUGAAC